This 468-nucleotide ribosomal RNA is filed under the name uncultured bacterium. Its description in RNAcentral is "partial 16S ribosomal RNA". It matches the Rfam family "Bacterial small subunit ribosomal RNA", at positions 28 to 507 of the family's 1533-position model. The record is from RNAcentral.
GACGAACGCUGGCGGCGUGCUUAACACAUGCAAGUCGAACGGAAAGGCCCUGCUUUUGUGGGGUGCUCGAGUGGCGAACGGGUGAGUAACACGUGAGUAACCUGCCCUUGACUUUGGGAUAACUUCAGGAAACUGGGGCUAAUACCGGAUAGGAGCUCCUGCUGCAUGGUGGGGGUUGGAAAGUUUCGGCGGUUGGGGAUGGACUCGCGGCUUAUCAGCUUGUUGGUGGGGUAGUGGCUUACCAAGGCUUUGACGGGUAGCCGGCCUGAGAGGGUCACCGGCCACAUUGGGCCUGAGGUACGGCCCAGACGCCUACGGGAGGCAGCAGUGGGGAAUAUUGCACAAUGGGCGGAAGCCUGAUGCAGCAACGCCGCGUGCGGGAUGACGGCCUUCGGGUUGUAAACCGCUUUCGCCUGUGACGAAGCGUGAGUGACGGUAAUGGGUAAAGAAGCACCGGCUAACUACGUG